Molecule: long non-coding RNA, 980 nt
Filed under: Lepisosteus oculatus (spotted gar)
Lineage: Eukaryota; Metazoa; Chordata; Actinopteri; Semionotiformes; Lepisosteidae
Description: lncRNA (ENSLOCG00000021779.1)
Source: RNAcentral
UCUCCCCCAACCCUCAAAUUGCACUUUCUAGAACAACAGCGACGUCAGUUUAAGAGUUAGAGAACAGGCGUCUUCCGGGGGCCACCUUGAGCUGUGUUGCUCUGCAAGGGCCUGACGUGGACGAUUCACUCCACCGCCGUCCUCCCGCCAGUUCUGGGUCCGGUGCUGACAGGGAUGCUCCCACAUCGGCUGUAUGUCGUAGCUAUAUAGCCGAUCUUUCGAUUGUGAUAUAACUGUCGAUACAGCACCUCUCAGGAGGCGUCAUCUCCAUCUCAGGAAGCACCGUCUCUAAACCUCCCCCCAGCAGUCUCCACUGGGAAACACAGUUCCACCCUCACCCCCGGAACUGGGACCUCUUGCGUUCCCCAUCCAUCCCCCUUCUGAUCGAUCUGCCAAUGAAAUCCAGCCGGAAGGUGGGGGGGGGCGGGGGCUGUUCCUUACCAGCGAGCCCAGGCGUCCAGGUCGUGGUAGACCUUGCCCGGGGGCAGCUGGGGGUGGCGGGCGCAGAUGGCGCACAGCCUCUCCCGCCAGUCUGUGUACAGGUGCACCCUGCCGCGCCGCCGCCAGGCGAAGAAGCUCCGGUAGCGGCCCUCGUCGGCCGCCAGCCCGCGCAGGAAGGCGGCCAGCUCCCCCGUGGAGUUGAAGUCGUCGACGUGGAUGAAGGAGCCCGGGGGCGCCUGGGCCUCGUAGUCGGCCCGGGGGGGGCCCAGGACCACCGGCACCGAGCCCGCCUGGAAGGAGUUGCGCCACAGCUUCUCGGUGAUGUAGUCGCGGUAGACGGAGUUCUCGAAGGCCAGGUAGAAACGGUACCGCGAGAUGGUGGGCAGCAGCCCCUCGGGGCUCAGCGGCCGCCGCCCGUAGCGCCCAUACACGUCCACCGCCAUCAGCCGGCUCAGCUGCUUGUACACGCGGGUCCGCUCGUGCCUCUCCCUGUAGUUGCUCACCACCCACGUGGCCAGGACGCGGGGGUGCUUGCUGGG